UACAGAGGUCUCAAGCGUUGUUCGGAUUCAUUGGGCGUAAAGGGUGCGUAGGCGGCGGGGUUAGUCAGGUGUGAAAUCUCGGAGCUCAACUCCGAAACUGCACUUGAUACUGCCUUGCUAGAGUACUGGAGAGGAGAUUGGAAUUUACGGUGUAGCAGUGAAAUGCGUAGAUAUCGUAAGGAAGACCAGAGGCGAAGGCGAAGCUCUGGACAGUUACUGACACUGAGGCACGAAGGCCAGGGGAGCAAACGGG
This 253-nucleotide ribosomal RNA is filed under the name uncultured bacterium. RNAcentral describes it as "partial 16S ribosomal RNA". It matches the Rfam family "Bacterial small subunit ribosomal RNA", at positions 524 to 776 of the family's 1533-position model. The record is from RNAcentral.